This 497-nucleotide ribosomal RNA is filed under the name uncultured bacterium. Its description in RNAcentral is "partial 16S ribosomal RNA". It matches the Rfam family "Bacterial small subunit ribosomal RNA", at positions 28 to 507 of the family's 1533-position model. The record is from RNAcentral.
GAUGAACGCUGGCGGCGUGCCUAAUACAUGCCAGUCGAGCGAACGGACGAGAAGCUUGCUUCUCUGAUGUUAGCGGCGGACGGGUGAGUAACACGUGGAUAACCUACCUAUAAGACUGGGAUAACUUCGGGAAACCGGAGCUAAUACCGGAUGAUAUUUUGAACCGCAUGGUUCAAAAGUGAAAGACGGUCUUGCUGUCACUUAUAGAUGGAUCCGCGCUGCAUUAGCUAGUUGGUAAGGUAACGGCUUACCAAGGCAACGAUGCAUAGCCGACCUGAGAGGGUGAACGGCCACACUGGAACUGAGACACGGUCCAGACUCCUACGGGAGGCAGCAGUAGGGAAUCUUCCGCAAUGGGCGAAAGCCUGACGGAGCAACGCCGCGUGAGUGAUGAAGGUCUUCGGAUCGUAAAACUCUGUUAUUAGGGAAGAACAUAUGUGUAAGUAACUGUGCACAUCUUGACGGUACCUAAUCAGAAAGCCACGGCUAACUACGUG